UAAUGACUUGCCCUACAGAAAAUCCACUCAAAUAGAUGAAUAUGAACCAACCAACAAUUUAAGGCACUUAACAAGAACGCACAAGAACACGCGAUUUAACCCGAGGUUCGGCAACCACCACAAAGGUGUCCUACUCCUCAUUGAGGAGCCCACAAAGGGCCGGGUCUUUUCCAACCCUAAUCCUCUACAAACCGACCACCAAGGUCAAGGCAAUCUUUUCUCAAAUUUGCUCAAAGAGCGGGUAAUACAAACUUCUUGGGGUCAUCCACAAAUUUGGAGACUCCCAAGCAACCUCUAACCGUCAAGGAACACAAGGCUCCAAGAGUAACAAAUCCGCACAAGGUUAAGUUUGCAAUGAGCUCAAGAACAAAGAGAAUGGGAGAAUCAAGAUGAAAUUGACAGCGUGUUAGAUCGACUUCACCUCACACCAAGGAUCCUUCAAGCGAUUGAAGGAGAUGCGAUUUUGGGUGUGAGAUGUGAAAUGAAUGCCCUUGUUUGGAGUUUGGUCUGCUGAGGAAUCGUGGAGAGAGCAGAAGUGAUUAAGAGAGAGAGUGUGGGGGUAUUUAAAGGAUCCCCCAAAAGCUGGCAGCCGUUGGGAGAAAAGGGCCAAAAACCGGUUGAACCGGUUUCCACCAGGGAGAACCCGGUUCACUAAUCUACUCAGUUGGAGACUCGACCGGACUCAAAACCGGUUGAGCCGGGGAAAAUCCGGUUGAACCGGUUUUCAAAAAAAAAUCUGCACAUGACUUUUCUGACAGCUCUGACUGUCAGACUGGUCAGAGCAGAGGUGGCAGAGAAACAGUCCAGAAACCGAUUGAACCGAUUUCAGGUCCGGUUGAACUGGUUUCAGAGGCUGAAGAGCAAGUUUUGAACAUUUUGAAGUGAACAAAGGUGGAACUCUUGUGGGAAGUGAAAGUGGUUACUCAAGGGGCAUUCAUGAUCUAGAAAAGUGUUCUCUUAGAUGAUUUUGAAGGAAUUUAAACUUAGCUCAUUGCACAACUUACUUAACCAUUGCGGAUCCAGUCACACCUGGGUUUCGGGGCACCAAGACCCGGGCGCGAACAUAAUCACCAGGUGUGCUGGGACCAAGUCUCACACAUAUGAUGAUUCAUGGCACAGGAUCGAAUGUCACAACUGUGGCAGAACCUCCAAGUUAUCGGGCCCACAUGCACCUGUCCUUGUCUCAAAGACCUCAGACGGCCAUGCAUGUGCACCAGAUAACUUAACAGGAUCCGUCCGAUUGCCCCAAGGACACCGGAUAAACCACUUACAACCAGAACCGCGGGAUUAAGUAACACAAAUCACACACACCAAUAUUUUUGCAGCGGAAAUCUUAUUACCAAAUUUUACAAGUUACAAAAAUUUUAUAUUAUUUUAUCGGAGUGAUUACAAAAGUAUAAGUUUGAAAUAUAUGCUAGCUCAAAUGACCAUCCUCAGUAAGAAGAUAAAGACGGGUUAUACUUAUAUAAGAAGGCCGAGCCCACCGGCACUUAACACCAUCAAAAGCAGCACAAAGUUAGAACCUGAAAAACAACAGGGAAUAAAACCCUGAGUAUGGAAUUACUCAGCAAGACUUACCCGACUAAAGAAAAGACUCUCAAGGGUAUGCUGGAUUUGGGAAUCAAGGAGAGGCUUUAGCAAGAAUCAACUUAGAUACUUUUGCAGAAAUAGCUUACUAAAGUGAGUCCUUACUUUCAAUAUUUUAACGCCAGAUUAAAUAUUAAUAGACUCUAUUUGCAUCUGGUCUAAUUUCACCAUCUCAUCAAUACAACAUCAUUUUUAUUCAUGAGGUUCACAUCCUGACUUAGGUUGCAGGUCAGUGAUCAAGUCUCCACUCUCCGGGGAUAUAACGGCGAUCCGAAUCGAUUUACUCAGCUGAGGAUCUCUAACCACACGACAUAUGUAGCACUUAACCCUUGCAUAUGUCAACCGUUCCCACAGAUCCUCCACAACGUGAACCGGUCCGCGCUACCCGGGAGCACAGUACUCCUCCAUCCAGCCUCUAGCCAGGAGGGCACACGCUACUCCCACCAUCUCCCACGCCCAGUGCGCGGUUGUCUUUUCACGUAUGGAAUAGCCGGGUUCAAGCUUACCCUGUCCCAUUUCCAGGGCAUGUGGCCAGUUAAGAUAGUCCUUGAUCUAUCAGGCCUACAUACGCAUCCAAUCCUUAAUUGACCCAGGCGGAGCAUCACCUGUUCCUAGCCCAAGUCCCGAUUUAAGUACUUCCACCCUUAGGAUUGUUUGUAUUCCUUAGGAUGAAAAGAGCAUCAAAGGGAACUUUGCAGUAAGAUCCCACCAUUGCUCCCAAUUAAAAUAUUCUUGCAGGCAGAAGCCAUCCUUCCUCAGGAUAACCCCUGAGCUAGGCAUUAACGCAAAGGACAACCUCUAUCCACAAGAUUUACCUCUAAGCAAGGCUAAGCAAAUUUUGUAAAUCAUAUUUUGAUACUUCAUCAGAAGUAUCUAUAAAGGUAUGGAUAUCAAGGAAGGCAAUGCAUCAAAGGGUUUCAAGCAACUCCUAUAAACCUAAUGCACAUUUCACUAGACUUAAAGUGUGCGAAAAGUAUUUAAAAACACAAGGAAGGGGUUGCAUGCACCGGGGCUUGCCUGAGUAACACUAGGUUAGUGUUUGUUAGGCGAUGUCCACUUGACGAUCAUCCUUUGGCUUGGCACUCGCUCAGAUUAUCCAUCUUCCAGUUCAUCCAUCAGCAUCAUCCUGCGGUUUAGUCCGCGCUUGGGGUCGACUCGGGGUAUCUUCCGCAUCACGCGAUUAAUUAACGUACCUGAAUGGAAUGCAUUAUGCACAUGAAUGCAUAUCGACGGAAAUAUUAUAAACCUAAAUAGUGCUACGCGAUGGCGAAUUUAAACACCUAGCGGCGAUGCGUUGUACAAUUUUGUACGAAAUCAGUAGUUAUUAAUAUACGACUACACGCAAUAAUUACGUUUCUCGAACCUAACGCAAACAUUGCAAACAAAUUAUACACUUUAAACAUGAUUAGCCUAAACACAAUUCAUCAGCUACUUAAUUAAAUGCUAAAUUUAUCUCUCACUUUAUAAAUUAUAUCACUUUACUUACAAGAACUAAUUGAAUUUUAUUUUGCAUCACACAUAUUUAUUUAAUCUAUCUAAUUCGGCUAACAACUUGCGCGCUAGUAAUAGAUUUAGCUUAGAUUCACUACUUUGAUUAAGGAAGGAAUCCGAGUUUUUCGUCGAUUACACGUUAAAUACCGUACUAAUAUUAAACUACUCGAAACUAAUAACCCAAGCAAACUACCUAGAACAUAAUAACUAUUAUAACGUAAGAGAUCAGCAACAUGUACGACUACCGAUCAAAUCACCAUAAACGAUUCAGGUAGUCUAAUAAAUAUCAUAUUUAGUCGACUGGAAUAACGAAUCCACUUACCGUCCAUUAAAUCCGACUUAAAGCUUGCGAGAACGUCGAUAGUCUCCGAAUAAAAUCUUUGAUCAAACCCUUGGCGAGCUUUAAACUGAGCUUCACUUCGACGACAACCAGAUCGAUAUCGGGACUCGACGGCAGUGCAACACCACCACGAGACGGAGGCAAACUGGCUACGACGGCACGAUUAACGGUGAUUUAACGACCAUGACGAAGAGUGGUGUCGCGGAAAUAGAGCACGACACAGCAGGGCGAUGGUCGGACCAGCAUUGAGCCAGUUGAGCACCAGCGAGGCUUUGUGGGUACGGAUCGGCGCUCGCAACAGAGCUCGCGCGCGCAGGGAGAAACCUCGGCGAGGGAACUCGACGGCGACGAUCUGGGCGAGCGUAGCAGGGAGCCAGCCACGGCUAGCAGCAGGAGCGAGGGAGCUGAGCGCAGUGCAGGGAACCCAUCUAGGAAGCGACGUCCGGCGAGCCCCAAAGAGCAGCGCGCGCAGCGAGCAGAGAGGGAGAGAAGCACGACUGGGCUGGGAUGACCGGCGAGCACGCGCGCAGCCAUGAACACGGCACAGAGCUGGAGCUGAGCAUGGCCACCGGCGGGCUCCAAGGCCGUGGGCUAAGAAACGUGCGCCUGAGCACAGAGCGCAACGGAGAGAUGAGCCAGCAAUUCUCUAUGAGCGAAGCGUACACCAUGGAAUAAAGGAGCAGGCACCGUACAUAUAUAGAUAGACGCCAUGCGGUGGAAGGAUAGGGAUGGUGACCAGCAAAUAUCAACGCCAUGGGCGGUGGUAACUGGUAAGGAUAAAGGCGGCUGAAGGAAAAAAAUCACAGGGAGAUGAGAUCGACAGACUGGGCGGCGGCAAGAUUUUUUUCCAGUGACUCGACGCAGCUAGGAAGAGGAAGCUGGGCUUGGAGAAAAAGCUGAGGCGAGUACAAAUGCUAGAAAGGGAGGUCGACGUGCACAGCUCAGAGAGGAGCAGCGUGAGAGGGAGAUGAACGGAUAGGGAUGCAUGCAACAAGACGGUGGCAAAACAAAUAUCCAAGGAAGAUAUUUUCUUUAAGUAAAAUGGAAAUUUCAGAAUAUUUGAAUUUGGGUCUAGACAAGAUGUACACAAUCUAAUUAAAACGACACUUGAUUUAAACAUAUUAUUUACUGGGACUUUGAAAUAGGACACCAAAUCGGCUAACAAUUUUUCCGGUUUCAAUUAGUUCGGGUUCAGUUUAUUUAAACAGUCUAUCCCUGGUAGUGGCUUUACCAAAUUUAUAGAGAUUGCUCGAACCGAGCGAAAUACUUAAGUGACAAUUUUAUUUCGUCUAGAUUAAUUUUAAAUUGGCACUAGGCUCGACACUUUUAGAAUUAAAUAAAUUUUAAACUGUGCGAGCCGAAUGCGACAUCGCAAUCGGAAUUCCUCCGGGGACGAUGUCAGUAUUGUCACGGGAGCGAGAUGUAGACGGAUUAAACCAGACGAGAUCCGAUUCGAUAUUUAGGACAACACUGGUUUGGUCGAACUCAGAUAAAAAUUUAUCCGUCACCAAAACACAGCUGAUUUGAUUAUCCUACAGUGUGGGCUGAAGAACAAAUGGGAUCAGAUGAAUUCGCACCCGUAAUUUAUAUCCAAAGUUUUGGAUCGGGCAAGAAACGACAGACCGAAUUAAACUGAUUUCGGCACUGAUAAUUUGUUCGGCGUGAUUCGACCGAAAUUAGCCGAAACACAAUAUGCGAACGUAUACGCGAUUUUUGUCGUCGAAACCGCGUGCUGAAGAAUUAAUUGGAUUAUAACCUCGCGCAUGAUUUCGCGCGAUUCAAAUUAUUUUACCCCGAACAUUUUAGUCGUCGAGUUCAACUAAUUUGCCCGGGAUAACAAUCAUCUUAGUGAGUCGGACUUCCAAAUUCGUAUUCGCGCGAGCGAUGAGUUUUAAAUAAUCACCGGACGCACCGAUGUUCGGAACGACUACGUUCCGAAUAAUAUGGAAAUUUCGGAAGAGCCCGGAUAGAUAAAAAUAAAAACGACGUCGCACUCACGACAGACGGAACAGAUGCGAUAUUAAAAUCGUGAUAGGCAAAAAUAAUUAGACCUUAGUGUCCGUCUUAUUUACUGAUAUCACGUGCUUAAAUUCGUACUCAUUGUCGAGCGGAAUAUAAACACCUGGGGUGUUACAGCCCUCCCCCUUAAAAGAAUCUCGUCCCGAGAUUCGGAGCGAAAGACUUUUAAGAGUAGAGAAGCAUGUAAACCACGUCCAUAUCAGCGGUAAUCACAAGGCAGUCUUGAGCGAAGGCGAGUGCCUCAGGAUGUGGUUUCUCUAGCGGACAUAACAUGUAUUGCCUUAGGCCAAUUUAGAGAUGUCCACCAAUAGAGACGAUGUCUGCCAGAGGAACAUAUAAGGUUCCAUGUGUGCAGUUUGCUUUUUUUGAUGACACUAUACUAUCUGAGUCUGUCGAGCGAGCGGCAAAUACACGACUUUACCCAAACAGAAUCAGAUGCACCAUCUUGGGUAAAACACACAGAAAGAGGUUUACCAACAAGUGGUCACAAUGAGUUCGUAGCACACGAGACGGGUGUGAAUGUCGAAUAACAUCACAUUUAACUCGUGGCUAGCUAGAAAAUCCAAGUCCAAGAAAAUGAUAGACUUGCAAAAUCACCAGCGAAGGGAUAGGCAGAUGCUGCCUUCGUAACCAAUCCAUUUUAUCAAUCACUGGGCAUGGCUCGACUUGAUCACACAUACUGGAAAAGCACACGUGAGGCGUUCGAGGCAUGACUAGAGCGAUCAUUAGGUGGUUAUCAGUCGAUUUAACUUGAUUUUUUUAUAAACACUUCCUUAAGAGGGGUUGUACAAAAGUGAGUUUAGACAACUUGAUAAAACGAUCUCUAAACUCAACCUUUGUUCAUUGGGCAGUUACAAGUUAGUAAAACCAACUUGUUGAACUACUUUUGACAUUGAGUAGGUCCUCUCAGUACCAUCGGUAAGCCAAGGGUUGAAAGCUCACAUUUGCUAACAAAAGGUCAUGCAUUUGGGUAGAAAUCAUUUGGACAUGUUAUUCAUCCGUUUCUUCAUGCGAGAUGAAUUAUCCACUUGGUUAGGGAAUACAUGGAUUAAAUAGGAGAGCGAAUGAACAAACUCCUGCAUCUCAACAGCAGGGGAAAUCCAAUCUCCAUUUCGAGAGCUAAUCAGUGGUUUUCCAACACUAAAAAGCUCCAAGGAUUCACCUUUACACAAAGGACGUAAAGGAAACUUGUAUGUGUGAAGUCACCAUCAAAGUCAAGGGAAAAGAGACCACACAUGAAAGGGAUAUGCCCUUUUAAUCCAACGGAGAUGAUAGAUGUUGCUUGAUCACUUGACAAACAACAUAGAAAUUGUUUCAAGGAAGUAGUUUACGGAAGAUAACACAUCAGUGUAGUUCCACAAUGGAUCAUGACCAGAGACCUUGAUACCAGCAUGCGUCGAGUAGCACAAUCCUGUGUGCGCAUUCACAGGAGGCUCUCAGUCUCGAUGCGGCACCAUAAGUCCUUAAUCAUGACACCAUCACCGAACUAGCACCAAUAAUAAAUCUCACGUAGCAAAAAUAGAUUGUGCCAAGAUAACGCAUUGACAUAGUCUCAUAAUGGAUUACAACUACUAACCAUGAUACCAGCGCGUGCCGAGCAGCACAACCGUGUGUGCGCACACACAGAGGGCCCUCGGUUUCGUCACGACACCACAGGUUUUAGCCAUAAUGUCAUUACCAGACGUAACCAAUAAGAAAUCUCGCGCGAUACAAAUGAAUUGAACAAGGGUGACAAUAUACAAGGAGAUACUCCACCUGUAAGAAUGGUUACAAGUAGAGAGCCAAAUAGAUUAUGGCCCAAGGAAAUGAACAAAACAUGGCCAUAACCUAAACUUGAUGAAAGGAGUACGAUGGGAGACUGUUAAUUCAGCCCCAAGCAUAUUUCUAUGCCCAUCAUAGAGAUUACAAGGUCAAGGAUGAGUAUCUGAUUAGAUACGGAGGUAAAACAAUCAUAAGAUUAAGUUGGUAGGCCUUCAAUAGAGAUGGGGAAUCCAAAGGCAUCAAACUUUAAGAAAAUGGUCGGACAAGCUUUUCCUAGGUUAGGUUAAUAAGGCGACAAGAUGAUCCACAAGGAGAGGCCGAAUACAAUAGGGACCUCAACCUGCAUCAACUGAACAAGGGAAUGGUUCUAAAAGGAGACAUGACUUGAGAUCCUUUUUUUUAAGCUUAGGUACAUUUUAUGUCCAAUAAGGAAAUUGUCUAAGCAUUCAUUUACAUGAUUUUAGUCAAGGAGGGAUAAUGGUAAAUUCAAAUUUGGGUCUAGGUUUACCAGAUAAGAACGUGGCCUAAUUUUGGGUUUAGGCAAACAAGUCACUAACCUUCUAUCGACACAUCAAGCACAAGAUCAAACACCAUAUAAGACCUUAAUAGGUUACCUAAAGAAUGGAGGACACCUAUUUCAUCGAAGUUCAUAAUUCAGCAUUACACCACAUUAUCUACAAUCAAUGGUUACUGGAAUAAAGAUGAGAGAAGCAUUUUGGGUGUAUAGGCGACAAACAUGAUGCAACAAUCAGGAUGCAUGCUCGUCCUAUACGUCCUCACUGAUUUUGCCAACAUAAUGUGGUAAUAACGUUCUAUAUCGGUGGCAUACGUUCUCUCUCGGUAUUUUGCUAGUCGUCAGCUACACAUACGUUUUCGAGGUUAGUGUACCUGCAGAAAAUCCAUCACAGCCCAAUUUCCAAUGAUGCAGUUCACACAUGACAUUUUAUCACAGUUUAUACUCCAUAUAUUGCUAUAUGGAGGCCAGCUCAUCAUUAAGCGCCGAGCCACGCAUAGGUGUCGUUGCCACACUUUAACCAUAGGGCAACUCAUUAUGGUAACUCACCUUCUUACCUGAGCGUAGGUGCGUCGUUACAAGUACAUUACACUUCUCAGUAUUCCCAUGUCUGUAUACCCAUACACAUCCAUGGGGUACUGAAUUCCCAGAAAAUCAAAUACUCCAGAUCGCAGCCUUCAUAUAUACAUAUGUGUAACAUGUAUAUAAUCAAGCGCAACAAUUAAACACUUUCCUAGACCGACGGUUGUUUGGUCAUGCUCUCACAUCUCACCUUACCUUGAGCGUCGAUCCAUUCAAAACUGAAUGGCCUUAAAAAUAACAAUACACAUGUAUGCAAUACCCACCCGGUUGUGGGUUAGUGGUUUUUAAAUAAGCCACCUAAUAGUCCUUAACUUAGGGCUUAACAGAGGAUGUUGCUAGCAUUAUAGUUUUUCAAAACUGUUUUUCAAAGCCAAACAAUGUGUUUAGUUAAAAAUAGGUUUUCUAAAACCAAAACUUUUGUUUCGAAAAUACGUAUGUGACCGUAUAUACUUAAUCCUGCUCCGAUACCAGCUGUGGCAGAACCUCCAAGUUAUCGGGCCCACAUGCACCUGUCCUUGUCUCAAAGACCUCAGACGGCCAUGCAUGUGCACCAGAUAACUUAACAGGAUCCGUCCGAUUGCCCCAAGGACACCGGAUAAACCACUUACAACCAGAACCGCGGGAUUAAGUAACACAAAUCACACACACCAAUAUUUUUGCAGCGGAAAUCUUAUUACCAAAUUUUACAAGUUACAAAAAUUUUAUAUUAUUUUAUCGGAGUGAUUACAAAAGUAUAAGUUUGAAAUAUAUGCUAGCUCAAAUGACCAUCCUCAGUAAGAAGAUAAAGACGGGUUAUACUUAUAUAAGAAGGCCGAG
RNAcentral lists this long non-coding RNA (9110 nucleotides) under Zea mays. RNAcentral's name for it is "long non-coding RNA (ZMAY_LNC002096)". Lineage: Eukaryota; Viridiplantae; Streptophyta; Magnoliopsida; Poales; Poaceae. The record is from RNAcentral.